RNAcentral lists this ribosomal RNA (700 nucleotides) under uncultured bacterium. RNAcentral describes it as "bacterial SSU rRNA". It matches the Rfam family "Bacterial small subunit ribosomal RNA", at positions 94 to 828 of the family's 1533-position model. The record is from RNAcentral.
AGUGGCGGACGGGUGAGUAACGCGUAAGAAUCUAACUUCAGGACGGGGACAACAGUGGGAAACGACUGCUAAUACCCGAUGUGCCGCGAGGUGAAACCUAAUUGGCCUGAAGAAGAGCUUGCGUCUGAUUAGCUAGUUGGUGGGGUAAGAGCCUACCAAGGCGACGAUCAGUAGCUGGUCUGAGAGGAUGAGCAGCCACACUGGGACUGAGACACGGCCCAGACUCCUACGGGAGGCAGCAGUGGGGAAUUUUCCGCAAUGGGCGAAAGCCUGACGGAGCAACGCCGCGUGAGGGAGGAAGGUCUUUGGAUUGUAAACCUCUUUUCUCAAGGAAGAAGUUCUGACGGUACUUGAGGAAUCAGCCUCGGCUAACUCCGUGCCAGCAGCCGCGGUAAUACGGGGGAGGCAAGCGUUAUCCGGAAUUAUUGGGCGUAAAGCGUCCGCAGGUGGUCAGCCAAGUCUGCUGUCAAAUCAGGUUGCUUAACGACCUAAAGGCGGUGGAAACUGGCAGACUAGAGAGCAGUAGGGGUAGCAGGAAUUCCCAGUGUAGCGGUGAAAUGCGUAGAGAUUGGGAAGAACAUCGGUGGCGAAAGCGUGCUACUGGGCUGUAUCUGACACUCAGGGACGAAAGCUAGGGGAGCGAAAGGGAUUAGAUACCCCUGUAGUCCUAGCCGUAAACGAUGGAUACUAGGCGUGGCUU